RNAcentral lists this ribosomal RNA (395 nucleotides) under uncultured bacterium. RNAcentral describes it as "bacterial SSU rRNA". It matches the Rfam family "Bacterial small subunit ribosomal RNA", at positions 505 to 898 of the family's 1533-position model. The record is from RNAcentral.
GUGCCAGCAGCCGCGGUAAUACAGAGGGUGCAAGCGUUAAUCGGAAUUACUGGGCGUAAAGCGCAUGUAGGCGGGUAUUUAAGUCGAUUGUGAAAGCCCUGGGCUUAACCUAGGAACUGCAGUCGAUACUGGAUACCUAGAGUAUGGUAGAGGACAGUGGAAUUCCCGGUGUAGCGGUGAAAUGCAUAGAUAUCGGGAGGAACACCAGUGGCGAAGGCGACUGUCUGGAUUAAUACUGACGCUGAGAUGCGAAAGCGUGGGGAGCAAACAGGAUUAGAGACCCUGGUAGUCCACGCCGUAAACGAUGAGAACUAGUCGUUGGGAGGCUUAGACCUUUUAGUGACGUAGCUAACGCGUUAAGUUCUCCGCCUGGGGAGUACGGUCGCAAGAUUAAA